GUACUGAUGUCAACAGCACAUAUACUAAAAUUGGAAUGAUACAGAGAAGAUUAGCAUGGCACCUGCGCAAGGUUGACAUGCAGAUUAGUGAAGUGUUGUGUAUUUUU
This is a small nuclear RNA of Ochotona princeps (American pika), 107 nucleotides long. The record is from Ensembl. Lineage: Eukaryota; Metazoa; Chordata; Mammalia; Lagomorpha; Ochotonidae.